Molecule: transfer RNA, 364 nt
Filed under: uncultured Microcystis sp.
Lineage: Bacteria; Bacillati; Cyanobacteriota; Cyanophyceae; Chroococcales; Microcystaceae
Description: partial 16S-23S ribosomal RNA intergenic spacer
Rfam family: tRNA (bases 135-208)
Source: RNAcentral
AAAGGGAGACCUAAUUCAGGUAGGAGACGAAAAAAAGUAGUCCCUACCAAGAAUCAAUCCCAAAAGGUCGGAGCGAGGCAAAAUUGGCUUUCAAACUAGGUUCUGGGUUCACACAAGACCUGAAUCAGGAACAAGGGCUAUUAGCUCAGGUGGUUAGAGCGCACCCCUGAUAAGGGUGAGGUCCCUGGUUCGAGUCCAGGAUGGCCCACCUGUACAGGUGGCAAAAAGAAAGAAAAGAAGCGAGGAAUCAGCACCUUAUCUUACUUAUAUAGUAAGAGAGAAUGCUGGCUCUGAGUUCAGAGUCCAGAGGAACCUUGAAAACUGCAUAGAGCUAGGUGAAAAAGCCAAAAAAGAAGAUCGCAAG